GCGAAAGUGGCGGAAUUGGCAGACGCGCUAGAUUCAGGUUCUAGUAGCCGCAAGGCUGUGGGGGUUCAAGUCCCCCCUUUCGCA
RNAcentral lists this transfer RNA (84 nucleotides) under Deltaproteobacteria bacterium. Its description in RNAcentral is "tRNA-Leu". It matches the Rfam family "tRNA". From Rfam's summary of the family: Transfer RNA (tRNA) molecules are approximately 80 nucleotides in length. Their secondary structure includes four short double-helical elements and three loops (D, anti-codon, and T loops). The record is from RNAcentral. Lineage: Bacteria; Pseudomonadati; Myxococcota; Myxococcia.